This 440-nucleotide ribosomal RNA is filed under the name uncultured bacterium. RNAcentral's name for it is "partial 16S ribosomal RNA". It matches the Rfam family "Bacterial small subunit ribosomal RNA", at positions 338 to 795 of the family's 1533-position model. The record is from RNAcentral.
CCUACGGGGUGCUGCAGUGGGGGAUAUUGCACAAUGGGGGAAACCCUGAAGCAGCAACGCCGCGUGGAGGAUUAAGGUUUUCGGAUUGUAAACUCCUUUUGUUAGAGAAGAUAAUGACGGUAUCUAACGAAUAAGUACCGGCUAACUCCGUGCCAGCAGCCGCGGUAAUACGGAGGGUGUAAGCGUUACUCGGAAUCACUGGGCGUAAAGAGCGCGUAGGCGGGAUAGCAAGUCAGAUGUGAAAUCCUAUGGCUUAACCAUAGAACUGCAUUUGAAACUGUUAUUCUAGAGUAUGGGAGAGGUAGGUGGAAUUCUUGGUGUAGGGGUAAAAUCCGUAGAGAUCAAGAGGAAUACUCAUUGCGAAGGCGACUUACUGGACUGUAACUGACGCUGAGGCUCGAAAGCGUGGGGAGCAAACAGGAGUAGAUACCCCAGUAGUC